Molecule: ribosomal RNA, 158 nt
Filed under: Phyllachora sp.
Lineage: Eukaryota; Fungi; Ascomycota; Sordariomycetes; Phyllachorales; Phyllachoraceae
Description: 5.8S ribosomal RNA
Rfam family: 5.8S ribosomal RNA
About the family: 5.8S ribosomal RNA (5.8S rRNA) is a component of the large subunit of the eukaryotic ribosome. It is transcribed by RNA polymerase I as part of the 45S precursor that also contains 18S and 28S rRNA. Functionally, it is thought that 5.8S rRNA may be involved in ribosome translocation.
Source: RNAcentral
AAACCUUCAACAACGGAUCUCUAGGUUCUGGCAUCGAUGAAGAACGCAGCGAAACGCGAUAUGUAGUGUGAAUUGCAGACCUCAGUGAAUCAUUGAAUUUUUGAACGCAUACUGCGCCCGCCUAUAUUCCGGCGGGCAUGCCUGUUCGAGCGUCAUGA